UGUUAGGCUUGGCAGGUCUUAAAUUAUUUUAAAAUAUUUAAAUAAUUUAACCUUUAAUUCACCUAUCCCAACAUGGCUACCGUGCGAGCACCUAUCAAAACCUUGAUGAAAAUAACAAACCGAAAAUCCAUUUGACCUUGGACGUGCCCCGUGCCGGUGCACUGGCCUUAGGGGUGCUGAAGAGCUUGAUUUGGAUGCCGGCGGCGGCGACGACAGUGCGCCGGCGCACAUCUCUAUGGAGGUGGACACGGCGACCCUUGGGCGACCGCCGCUGCCGCGGUUUGCUACAGGUGGCCAUGGCCACUAAUCUGUUGGAGGAGGCGCCCCCGGCACAGGUCCCAACCGCCGGAGACGCGGCAGAGACCGGGCAGUGGGCUGGCUUCCAGUCGCGAUACGACGCGGUCGUGACAGCGUCUCAGUACACAGGAGCCGCGGCUGUGGACGAUUGUUGAGAGACGGCGCGGGGCACCGAUAGAAGCUUGUCUGCUAGAGAUCAAAUCCUGUCUGCUGGUGGUAUAUAAUGCCGCGUAGGCGCUAAUGCCGCACUUCUCGCUCUCGAUCACCUCCAGCAGUCGCGCGGCGUACCUACGCUCGCUGCUCCUCGAGUAGAUGGGGCGGCAGCGGCGCGGGCGGAGCCUGUGGAGGUGGUGUCGAGGGCGACACAACUCUGAAGCUUUGGAAAAAAAAGCUGAUAAUACAUACUAUAUAAUAAUAAUACAUACUAUAUAAAAAAAAAAUGCUGAUAAUGCAUACUACAUACUAAAGCUGAUAAUACAAUAUAUACGAGCGGAAGCGGCGCGCGCACAGCGCCAGCACCGUGUCGAGAUCCUCCGGCGGCCUGCGCUCGUCGCUGAGCGUAUGUAGACUACUUGUGUCUUGUAGACAGUAGAGCUCGUCUUGACGGCGAAAUGUCAUUGUCCAAUUUUUCACUGUCCGGCGACCGCGGGAUGACAUUAACACUGUAUGUCACGCCGUGCACAUUAUGAGCUGACCUUUCCGUGACCUCUCACUGGUAGCCCGGCCCCGCUACAUAGCCAUGAGGGGUGGUUGUGUCUGUCGUUAGGCGUCCCGGCCGGUCCGCCGGUCCGCCGGCUGUCUGGGUGACGAACGGCGUCCGUGGCGACCCCGCGCGGGACGCACUAGCCGCUGGCUCUCCAGCAAACGGUGCACGUCCUGGGUGUUACCCGUUGCCAUUAUCCAUUAUCCAUUAGCAAUCCACAUGUGCCUAUGUCUGUUUUCGUUGUGAAUAAAUGUUUGCCUUGACAAGCGA
This is a long non-coding RNA of Amphibalanus amphitrite, 1270 nucleotides long. RefSeq lists it as uncharacterized. Lineage: Eukaryota; Metazoa; Arthropoda; Thecostraca; Balanomorpha; Balanidae. The record is from RefSeq and is a predicted model, not a curated record. The transcript has 2 exons.